RNAcentral lists this ribosomal RNA (450 nucleotides) under uncultured bacterium. RNAcentral describes it as "bacterial SSU rRNA". It matches the Rfam family "Bacterial small subunit ribosomal RNA", at positions 328 to 795 of the family's 1533-position model. The record is from RNAcentral.
CCGCCAGACUCCUACGGGAGGCAGCAGUGGGGAAUAUUGCACAAUGGGGGAAACCCUGAUGCAGCGACGCCGCGUGAGUGAAGAAGUCAUUCGUUACGUAAGGCUCUAUCAGCAGGGAAGAGAGUGACGGUACCUGAGUAAGAAGCCCCGGCUAACUACGUGCCAGCAGCCGCGGUAAUACGUAGGGGGCAAGCGUUAUCCGGAUUUACUGGGUGUAAAGGGAGCGUAGACGGCAAUGCAAGUCUGGAGUGAAAGGCGGGGGCCCAACCCCCGGACUGCUCUGGAAACUGUAUAGCUGGAGUGCAGGAGAGGUAAGUGGAAUUCCUAGUGUAGCGGUGAAAUGCGUAGAUAUUAGGAGGAACACCAGUGGCGAAGGCGGCUUACUGGACUGUAACUGACGUUGAGGCUCGAAAGCGUGGGGAGCAAACAGGAUUAGAUACCCCUGUAGAA